Molecule: ribosomal RNA, 482 nt
Filed under: uncultured bacterium
Lineage: Bacteria
Description: partial 16S ribosomal RNA
Rfam family: Bacterial small subunit ribosomal RNA
Source: RNAcentral
AUUGAACGCUGGCGGCAUGCUUUAUACAUGCAAGUCGAACGGUAACAGGCCGCAAGGUGCUGACGAGUGGCGAACGGGUGCGUAAUGCAUCGGAACGUGCCCAGUCGUGGGGGAUAACUACUCGAAAGAGUAGCUAAUACCGCAUACGAUCUAUGGAUGAAAGCGGGGGACCGUAAGGCCUCGCGCGAUUGGAGCGGCCGAUGUCAGAUUAGGUAGUUGGUGGGGUAAAGGCUCACCAAGCCAACGAUCUGUAGCUGGUCUGAGAGGACGACCAGCCACACUGGGACUGAGACACGGCCCAGACUCCUACGGGAGGCAGCAGUGGGGAAUUUUGGACAAUGGGCGCAAGCCUGAUCCAGCAAUGCCGCGUGCAGGAAGAAGGCCUUCGGGUUGUAAACUGCUUUUGUACGGAACGAAACGGCUCUGGUUAAUACCCGGGGCUAAUGACGGUACCGUAAGAAUAAGCACCGGCUAACUACGUG